GACGAACGCUGGCGGCGUGCUUAACACAUGCAAGUCGAACGGAAAGGCCCUGCUUUUGUGGGGUGCUCGAGUGGCGAACGGGUGAGUUACAUGUGAGUAACCUGCCCUUGACUUUGGGAUAACUUCAGGAAACUGGGGAUAAUACCGGCGAGGUGAGGGUGCAGGUUGGUGGUGGUCGGAACGCUCCGGCGCGUGGGGAUGGACGUCCGGUUUACCGGCUUGUUGGUGGGGUAGUGGCUUACCAAGUCUGUGGCGGGUAGCCGGCGUGAGAGGUGAGCCGGCCACAUUGGUACUACGAUACGGCCCAGACGCCUACAGGAGGCAGCAGUGGGGAAUAUUGCACAGUGGUCGGGAGCCUGAGGCAGCAACGCCGCGUUCGUGAAGACGGCCUUCGUGUUGUAAACCGCUUUCACCUGUGACGAAGCGUUAGUGACGGUAAUGGGUAAAGAAGCACCGGCUAACUACGUG
This 468-nucleotide ribosomal RNA is filed under the name uncultured bacterium. Its description in RNAcentral is "partial 16S ribosomal RNA". It matches the Rfam family "Bacterial small subunit ribosomal RNA", at positions 28 to 507 of the family's 1533-position model. The record is from RNAcentral.